This 468-nucleotide ribosomal RNA is filed under the name uncultured bacterium. Its description in RNAcentral is "partial 16S ribosomal RNA". It matches the Rfam family "Bacterial small subunit ribosomal RNA", at positions 28 to 507 of the family's 1533-position model. The record is from RNAcentral.
GACGAACGCUGGCGGCGUGCUUAACACAUGCAAGUCGAACGGAAAGGCCCGGCUUUUGUGGCUUGCUCGUUUGGCGAACGGGUGAGUAACACGUGUGUAUCCUGCCCUUGACUUUGGGAUAACUCCAGGAAACUGGGGCUAAUACCGGGUAGGAGCUCCUGCUGCAUAGUGGGGGUUGGAAAGAUUCGGCGGUUGGGGAUGGACUCGAGGCUUAUCAGCUUCUUGGUGGGGUAGUGGCUUACCACGGCUUUGACGGGUAGCCGGCCUGAGAGGGUGACCGGCCACAUUGGGACUGAGAUACGGACCAGACUCCUACGGGAGGCAGCAGUGGGGAAUAUUGCACAAUGGGCGGAAGCCUGAUGCAGCAACGCCGCGUGCGGGAUGACGGCCUUCGGGUUGUAAACCGAUUUCGACUGUGACGAAGAGAGAGUGACGGUAAUGGGUAAAGAAGCAACGGCUAACUACGUG